Molecule: ribosomal RNA, 253 nt
Filed under: uncultured bacterium
Lineage: Bacteria
Description: partial 16S ribosomal RNA
Rfam family: Bacterial small subunit ribosomal RNA
Source: RNAcentral
UACGGAGGGUGCGAGCGUUAACCGGAAUCACUGGGCGUAAAGCGCGCGUAGGCGGCUUUUCAAGUCAGGGGUGAAAUCCCACGGCCCAACCGUGGAACUGCCUUUGAAACUGUAGAGCUUGAGUGUCGGAGAGGGUGGCGGAAUUCCAGGUGUAGGAGUGAAAUCCGUAGAUAUCUGGAGGAACACCGGUGGCGAAGGCGGCCACCUGGACGACAACUGACGCUGAGGUGCGAAAGCGUGGGUAGCAAACAGG